RNAcentral lists this ribosomal RNA (240 nucleotides) under uncultured bacterium. Its description in RNAcentral is "partial 16S ribosomal RNA". It matches the Rfam family "Bacterial small subunit ribosomal RNA", at positions 96 to 334 of the family's 1533-position model. The record is from RNAcentral.
CGGCGGACGGGUGAGUAACACGUGGGUAACCUGCCUCAAACUGGGGGAUAGCCUUCCGAAAGGAAGAUUAAUACCGCAUAAUGUCAAAUUACCGCAUGGUAGCUUGAUCAAAGGAGUAAUCCGGUUUGAGAUGGACUCGCGGCCUAUCAGCUUGUUGGUGAGGUAAUGGCUUACCAAGGCGACGACGGGUAGCCGGCCUGAGAGGGUGACCGGCCACACUGGGACUGAGACACGGCCCAG